CCCGCACAAGCGGUGGAGCAUGUGGUUUAAUUCGACGCAACGCGAAGAACCUUACCUGGGCUUGACAUCCCUGGAAUCCCCUGGAAACAGGGGAGUGCCCUUCGGGGAGCCAGGAGACAGGUGCUGCAUGGCUGUCGUCAGCUCGUGUCGUGAGAUGUUGGGUUAAGUCCCGCAACGAGCGCAACCCUUGUCUUUAAUUGCCAUCAUUCAGUUGGGCACUUUAAAGAGACUGCCGGUGUUAAACCGGAGGAAGGUGGGGAUGACGUCAAGUCCUCAUGGCCUUUAUGACCAGGGCUACACACGUACUACAAUGGCCGGUACAAAGGGCAGCGACACAGCGAUGUGAAGCGAAUCCCGAAAAGCCGGUCUCAGUCCGGAUUGGAGUCUGCAACUCGACUCCAUGAAGUUGGAAUCGCUAGUAAUCGCGGAUCAGCACGCCCGCGGUCGAAUACGUUCCGGGCCUU
Molecule: ribosomal RNA, 464 nt
Filed under: uncultured Desulfocapsa sp.
Lineage: Bacteria; Pseudomonadati; Thermodesulfobacteriota; Desulfobulbia; Desulfobulbales; Desulfocapsaceae
Description: bacterial SSU rRNA
Rfam family: Bacterial small subunit ribosomal RNA
Source: RNAcentral